This 430-nucleotide ribosomal RNA is filed under the name Acidobacteriota bacterium. Its description in RNAcentral is "Acidobacteria bacterium partial 16S ribosomal RNA". It matches the Rfam family "Bacterial small subunit ribosomal RNA", at positions 355 to 776 of the family's 1533-position model. Lineage: Bacteria; Pseudomonadati; Acidobacteriota. The record is from RNAcentral.
UGGGGAAUAUUGGACAAUGGGCGAAAGCCUGAUCCAGCCAUGCCGCGUGUGUGAAGAAGGCCUUUUGGUUGUAAAGCACUUUAAGCGAGGAGGAGGCUACUUAGAUUAAUACUCUAGGAUAGUGGACGUUACUCGCAGAAUAAGCACCGGCUAACUCUGUGCCAGCAGCCGCGGUAAUACAGAGGGUGCGAGCGUUAAUCGGAUUUACUGGGCGUAAAGCGUGCGUAGGCGGCUUUUUAAGUCGGAUGUGAAAUCCCUGAGCUUAACUUAGGAAUUGCAUUCUAUACUGGGAAGCUAGAGUAUGGGAGAGGAUGGUAGAAUUCCAGGUGUAGCGGUGAAAUGCGUAGAGAUCUGGAGGAAUACCGAUGGCGAAGGCAGCCAUCUGGCCUAAUACUGACGCUGAGGUACGAAAGCAUGGGGAGCAAACAGG